Molecule: ribosomal RNA, 729 nt
Filed under: Streptomyces sp. 5-191
Lineage: Bacteria; Bacillati; Actinomycetota; Actinomycetes; Kitasatosporales; Streptomycetaceae
Description: bacterial SSU rRNA
Rfam family: Bacterial small subunit ribosomal RNA
Source: RNAcentral
UCGAACGAUGAACCACUUCGGUGGGGAUUAGUGGCGAACGGGUGAGUAACACGUGGGCAAUCUGCCCUGCACUCUGGGACAAGCCCUGGAAACGGGGUCUAAUACCGGAUACUGAUCCUCUUGGGCAUCUUGGAUGAUCGAAAGCUCCGGCGGUGCAGGAUGAGCCCGCGGCCUAUCAGCUAGUUGGUGAGGUAAUGGCUCACCAAGGCGACGACGGGUAGCCGGCCUGAGAGGGCGACCGGCCACACUGGGACUGAGACACGGCCCAGACUCCUACGGGAGGCAGCAGUGGGGAAUAUUGCACAAUGGGCGAAAGCCUGAUGCAGCGACGCCGCGUGAGGGAUGACGGCCUUCGGGUUGUAAACCUCUUUCAGCAGGGAAGAAGCGAAAGUGACGGUACCUGCAGAAGAUUCUUUUGGCUAACUACGUGCCAGCAGCCGCGGUAAUACGUAGGGCGCGCCCCCCUGUCCGGAAUUAUUGGGCGUAAAGAGCUCGUAGGCGGCUUGUCACGUCGGUUGUGAAAGCCCGGGGCUUAACCCCGGGUCUGCAGUCGAUACGGGCAGGCUAGAGUUCGGUAGGGGAGAUCGGAAUUCCUGGUGUAGCGGUGAAAUGCGCAGAUAUCAGGAGGAACACCGGUGGCGAAGGCGGAUCUCUGGGCCGAUACUGACGCUGAGGAGCGAAAGCGUGGGGAGCGAACAGGAUUAGAUACCCUGGUAGUCCACGCCGUAA